CACGUGCGCAAGUCGGUGGGCUUUGUCGAAACCUGCAGGCGUAAGUGAAAGCGAAGAGAGCUUGGGUUUACCCAUAGUCUCUUGACGGAGGAUCCCACAAAGUUAGGACACUCUGCUGUCCAUCGUGUGGGCGCACUCCGGGGACGUCCUCGCUGUGGUUGUGCUCCUCUGCCCCCUAUGUUGCUUUUUGGUUUUCUGGGUUGAUACUGGGUAGGUGGGGCAACUCAUCUGCUUUUGUGUUUUCCCUCCAGAUUGUAACCGUGGGGUGCACGGGCAUGCCUCAUCGGUGAGGGCGUACCAAGAGCGUACGCGUUGGGACCCGAAAGAUGGUGAACUAUGCCUGGCCAGGAUGAAGCCAGAGGAAACUCUGGUGGAGGUCCGUAGCGAUUCUGACGUGCAAAUCGAUCGUCUGAGCUGGGUAUAGGGGCGAAAGACUAAUCGAACCAUCUAGUAGCUGGUUCCCUCCGAAGUUUCCCUCAGGAUAGCUGGUGCUCGCUCUUGGAGGUAUAUAUAAACGCGAGUCCCAUCCGGUAAAGCGAAUGAUUAGAGGCCUUGGGGCCGAAAUGACCUCAACCUAUUCUCAAACUUUAAAUGGGUGGGACACCUGGCUUACUUGAACUGAAGCCCAGGUUUGUCUGAUCCAGGUGCUACCCAGUGGGCCACUCUUGGUAAGCAGGACUGGCGCUGUGGGAUGAACCAAACGUUGGGUUACGGCGCCAAAGUUGAUGCCGAUUAGAAACCAGGAAAGGCGUUGGUUGCUA
Molecule: ribosomal RNA, 761 nt
Filed under: Skogsbergia lerneri
Lineage: Eukaryota; Metazoa; Arthropoda; Ostracoda; Myodocopida; Cypridinidae
Description: eukaryotic LSU rRNA
Rfam family: Eukaryotic large subunit ribosomal RNA
Source: RNAcentral